AACAGGAUUAGAUACCCUGGUAGUCCACGCUGUAAACGAUGUCGACUUGGAGGUUGUGCCCUUGAGGCGUGGCUUCCGGAGCUAACGCGUUAAGUCGACCGCCUGGGGAGUACGGCCGCAAGGUUAAAACUCAAAUGAAUUGACGGGGGCCCGCACAAGCGGUGGAGCAUGUGGUUUAAUUCGAUGCAACGCGAAGAACCUUACCUACUCUUGACAUCCAGAGAAUUUGCUAGAGAUAGCUUAGUGCCUUCGGGAACUCUGAGACAGGUGCUGCAUGGCUGUCGUCAGCUCGUGUUGUGAAAUGUUGGGUUAAGUCCCGCAACGAGCGCAACCCUUAUCCUUUGUUGCCAGCGAGUAAUGUCGGGAACUCAAAGGAGACUGCCGGUGAUAAACCGGAGGAAGGUGGGGAUGACGUCAAGUCAUCAUGGCCCUUACGAGUAGGGCUACACACGUGCUACAAUGGCAUAUACAAAGAGAAGCGAACUCGCGAGAGCAAGCGGACCUCAUAAAGUAUGUCGUAGUCCGGAUUGGAGUCUGCAACUCGACUCCAUGAAGUCGGAAUCGCUAGUAAUCGUAGAUCAGAAUGCUACGGUGAAUACGUUCCCGGGCCUUGUACACACCGCCCGUCACACCAUGGGAGUGGGUUGCAAAAGAAGUAGGUAGCUUAACCUUCGGGAGGGGGCUUACCACUUUGUGAUUCAUGACUGGGGUGAAGUCGUAACAAGGUAACC
Molecule: ribosomal RNA, 731 nt
Filed under: uncultured bacterium
Lineage: Bacteria
Description: bacterial SSU rRNA
Rfam family: Bacterial small subunit ribosomal RNA
Source: RNAcentral